Molecule: unclassified non-coding RNA, 662 nt
Filed under: Hevea brasiliensis (rubber tree)
Lineage: Eukaryota; Viridiplantae; Streptophyta; Magnoliopsida; Malpighiales; Euphorbiaceae
Source: RNAcentral
CAGUUCUAUUAGCAGUUGUAUCCUGAGAAAAAUUUAGGAAAACAAAAACGAAAAGAUAAGUUGACAUAUUGAACAACGAUAAAACUCAGAAUGGAGCCUCAAGUAAUCAUGUAAUUAAAAGCUGCUUUAUACAAACUUCAAAUGUUUAACAAAAAGUAAACUAAUAGCAUAUUUCUAAGGAGUAAUACAAAUUAUUGAUUUCACAAAUAAAAACAAAAUCAAAUUUUUCAUCCUUCAUAAGAUUUGCAAAAAAGAAUCUACUUUCAUAAUUAGUUGGGGGUAAGUAGACUAAGGAACUAGCAUUUUCCGGGUAGUGCAAAAAAAUUCUCUCAUAUUUGAAUUGUAUUAUCAAACCAUCAUCCAGAGAAAUAGGAAGUACUUGCCUAGAAGACUUGGCAAGUUACACUUCUUAGUUAAGUGCAAUAUAAUUUACCAAUUUUUCUAUAUUAUGGACAUUAUUGUCUUUUAUAAUAUAGCAGGACAUUUUCUUCCAAACACAUUUAAUUUAUAUCAUAAUUUCCCUGAAAGUGUACUUCCAAGAAAGUAUUCUUCCCGGAAGAAGAUCAUUUGAACACCAAACGAGGCAGUGUAAAAACCACCAGAAAUACAAAGCCAGCUGCAAAAGAAUCGGACGCAUACCUCAACAAAACUAAUUCCAUUUG